RNAcentral lists this ribosomal RNA (253 nucleotides) under uncultured bacterium. Its description in RNAcentral is "partial 16S ribosomal RNA". It matches the Rfam family "Bacterial small subunit ribosomal RNA", at positions 524 to 776 of the family's 1533-position model. The record is from RNAcentral.
UACGAACUGUGCAAACGUUAUUCGGAAUCACUGGGCUUAAAGGGUGCGUAGGCGGCUUGUUAAGUAGGGUGUGAAAUCCCCCGGCUCAACCGGGGAAUUGCGCCCUAAACUGGCGAGCUGGAGUGAGAUAGGGGUGUGUGGAACUUCCGGUGGAGCGGUGAAAUGUGUUGAUAUCGGAAGGAACGCCAGUGGCGAAAGCGACACACUGGGUCUCAACUGACGCUGAGGCACGAAAGCCAGGGGAGCAAACGGG